Non-coding RNA from Vibrio sp. MEBiC08052, 85 nucleotides. The record is from Rfam. NCBI's taxonomy places the organism in Bacteria, Pseudomonadati, Pseudomonadota, Gammaproteobacteria, Vibrionales, Vibrionaceae.
UAUUAUGGUGGGCUGGAUGGGGCUGACCUCGGUCAGGCCGUUUCCUAUGUCACGGUAGUUCCAACUCCGCCAGCUCACCACCCAU